This 507-nucleotide ribosomal RNA is filed under the name uncultured Glomeraceae. RNAcentral's name for it is "SSU rRNA". It matches the Rfam family "Eukaryotic small subunit ribosomal RNA", at positions 569 to 1078 of the family's 1831-position model. The record is from RNAcentral. Lineage: Eukaryota; Fungi; Glomeromycota; Glomeromycetes; Glomerales; Glomeraceae.
CGCAGCCGCGGUAAUUCCAGCUCCAAUAGCGUAUAUUAAAGUUGUUGCAGUUAAAAAGCUCGUAGUUGAAUUUCGGGGUUAGCAGGUCGGUCGUGCCAUCGGUAUGAACUGGUCUCGCUGAUCCCUCCCUCUUGACGAACUGUGAUGCCAUUAAUUUGGUGUCGCAGGGAAUCAGGACUGUUACUUUGAAAAAUUAGAGUGUUUAAAGCAGGCUCACGCUUGAAUACAUUAGCAUGGAAUAAUGAAAUAGGACGUUUGAUCCUAUUUUGUUGGUUUCUAGGAUUGACGUAAUGAUUAAUAGGGAUAGUUGGGGGCAUUAGUAUUCAAUUGUCAGAGGUGAAAUUCUUGGAUUUAUUGAAGACUAACUACUGCGAAAGCAUUUGCCAAGGAUGUUUUCAUUAACCAAGAACGAAAGUUAGGGGAUCGAAGACGAUCAGAUACCGUCGUAGUCUUAACCAUAAACUAUGCCGACUAGGGAUCGGAUGAUGUUAAUUUUUAAUGUACUCA